This 253-nucleotide ribosomal RNA is filed under the name uncultured bacterium. RNAcentral describes it as "partial 16S ribosomal RNA". It matches the Rfam family "Bacterial small subunit ribosomal RNA", at positions 524 to 776 of the family's 1533-position model. The record is from RNAcentral.
UACGUAGGUGACCAGCGUUGUCCGGAUUUGCUGGGCGUAAAGAGCGCGCAGGCGGUCGUUCAAGUCGAGUGUGAAAGCCCCCGGCUCAACUGGGGAGGGUCAUUCGAUACUGAUCGACUGGAAGGCAGGAGAGGGAAGCGGAAUUCCCGGUGUAGUGGUGAAAUGCGUAGAUAUCGGGAGGAACACCAGUGGCGAAGGCGGCUUCCUGGCCUGUUCUUGACGCUGAGGCGCGAAAGCUAGGGGAGCAAACGGG